AACAAACGCUGGCGGCGUGCCUAAUACAUGCAAGUCGAACGGGGAAAGCUUUCGGGUGAGUACUAGUGGCGCACGGGUGAGGAACGCGUGGAUAAUCUGCCUUAGAGUGGGGGAUAACGAAUCGAAAGAUUAGCUAAUACCGCAUAAGACCACAAGAACUGCGGUUCAAGGGGUCAAAGGUUUUUCGCUCCAAGAUGAGUCCGCGUAAGAUUAGCUAGUUGGUGAGGUAACGGCUCACCAAGGCGACGAUCUUUAACUGGUCUGAGAGGAUGAUCAGUCACACUGGAACUGAGACACGGUCCAGACUCCUACGGGAGGCAGCAGUAGGGAAUAUUGCACAAUGGAGGAAACUCUGAUGCAGCGACGCCGCGUGAGUGAUGAAGGCCUUCGGGUCGUAAAGCUCUGUCGCAGGGGAAUAAAAAAAUGAAGGUACCCUGCAAGAAAGGAUCGGCUAACUUCGUGCCAGCAGCCGCGGUAAAAC
This 481-nucleotide ribosomal RNA is filed under the name uncultured bacterium. Its description in RNAcentral is "bacterial SSU rRNA". It matches the Rfam family "Bacterial small subunit ribosomal RNA", at positions 29 to 526 of the family's 1533-position model. The record is from RNAcentral.